This 223-nucleotide ribosomal RNA is filed under the name uncultured bacterium. RNAcentral describes it as "partial 16S ribosomal RNA". It matches the Rfam family "Bacterial small subunit ribosomal RNA", at positions 111 to 334 of the family's 1533-position model. The record is from RNAcentral.
UAACGCGUGAGGAACCUGCCUUGAAGAGGGGGACAACAGUUGGAAACGACUGCUAAUACCGCAUGAAGCAUAGGGGUCGCAUGAUCUUUAUGCCAAAGAUUUAUCGCUUCAAGAUGGCCUCGCGUCUGAUUAGCUAGUUGGCGGGGUAACGGCCCGCCAAGGCGACGAUCAGUAGCCGGACUGAGAGGUUGAACGGCCACAUUGGGACUGAGACACGGCCCAG